GGCGGCUAGGUUUCCUCUUUCAUCCAAAUUUUUUUCGAUAAAAUAAGUAAUUAAGAGGUAGAAGGAUACUUCUAUGCCUCUUAAUAAUCAGAUGAUGAUCUCAUAUAAAAAUUUCAUCAGAGAUUAAAAUGGAUAAAGAUGGAAUGUGGCAUUCCAUCCCAUGGGGCACCAAAUAUUUCUUUGUGCAUAAAAUAAUCUUCACACGUC
RNAcentral lists this long non-coding RNA (207 nucleotides) under Elaeis guineensis (African oil palm). RNAcentral describes it as "long non-coding RNA (EGUI_LNC056820)". The record is from RNAcentral. Lineage: Eukaryota; Viridiplantae; Streptophyta; Magnoliopsida; Arecales; Arecaceae.